GAUGAACGCUGGCGGCGUGCCUAACACAUGCAAGUCGAGCGAAAAGACGAGGAGCUUGCUCCCUUGCCGUUAGCGGCGGACGGGUGAGUAACACGUGGAUAAGCGACUUCUAAGUCGGGGAUAAUUACGGAAAGCAGGUGACAAUACUAGCUCAUAUAUCGAACCGCAGGAUUCAAUAGUGCUAGACGGCUUUCGCGUCUGAAUUAGAUGGUGUCGCGUCGGAUUAGCUAGUUGGUAAGGUAACGGCUUACCAAGGAGACGAUGCGUAGCCGACCUGAGAGGAUGAUCAGCCACACUGGAACUGAGACACGGUCCAGACUCCUACGGGAGGCAGCAGUGGGGAAUCUUGCGCAAUGGGCGAAAGCCUGACGGAGCAACACCGCGUGAGUGAUGAAGGUCUUCGGAUCGUAAAACUCUGUUGUUGGGAAAGAACAGAAGUGUAAUUAUCUAUGGACGUCUUGACGGUACCUAAUCAAUAAGCAACGGCUAACUACGUG
RNAcentral lists this ribosomal RNA (497 nucleotides) under uncultured bacterium. RNAcentral's name for it is "partial 16S ribosomal RNA". It matches the Rfam family "Bacterial small subunit ribosomal RNA", at positions 28 to 507 of the family's 1533-position model. The record is from RNAcentral.